UACGUAGGUGGCAAGCGUUAUCCGGAAUUAUUGGGCGUAAAGCGCGCGCAGGCGGUCUUCCAAGUCAGUGGUGAAAGCCCGGAGCUCAACUCCGGAAUUGCCAUUGAAACUGUAAGACUUGAGGAUGAGAGAGGUGAGUGGAAUUCCCAGUGUAGAGGUGAAAUUCGUAGAUAUUGGGAAGAACACCGGUGGCGAAGGCGGCUCACUGGCUCAUUUCUGACGCUCAGGCGCGACAGCGUGGGGAUCAAACAGG
This 253-nucleotide ribosomal RNA is filed under the name uncultured bacterium. RNAcentral describes it as "partial 16S ribosomal RNA". It matches the Rfam family "Bacterial small subunit ribosomal RNA", at positions 524 to 776 of the family's 1533-position model. The record is from RNAcentral.